This 467-nucleotide ribosomal RNA is filed under the name uncultured bacterium. RNAcentral describes it as "partial 16S ribosomal RNA". It matches the Rfam family "Bacterial small subunit ribosomal RNA", at positions 28 to 507 of the family's 1533-position model. The record is from RNAcentral.
GAUGAACGCUGACAGAAUGCUUAACACAUGCAAGUCAACUUGAAUUUGGGUUUUUAACUUAGGUUUGGGUGGCGGACGGGUGAGUAACGCGUAAAGAACCUGCCUCACAGCUAGGGACAACAUUUGGAAACGAAUGCUAAUACCUAAUAUUAUGAUAAUAGGGCAUCCUAUAAUUAUGAAAGCUAUAAGCGCUGUGAGAGAGCUUUGCGUCCCAUUAGCUAGUUGGAGAGGUAACGGCUCACCAAGGCGAUGAUGGGUAGCCGGCCUGAGAGGGUGAUCGGCCACAAGGGGACUGAGACACGGCCCUUACUCCUACGGGAGGCAGCAGUGGGGAAUAUUGGACAAUGGACCAAGAGUCUGAUCCAGCAAUUCUGUGUGCACGAUGAAGUUUUUCGGAAUGUAAAGUGCUUUCAGUUGGGAAGAAAGAAAUGACGGUACCAACAGAAGAAGUGACGGCUAAAUACGUG